GACGAAGGUGGCUAGCGUUGCUCGGAUUUACUGGGCAUAAAGCGCGCGUAGGUGGUCGUGUAAGCGGGGGAUGAAAGCCCAUGGCUCACCCAUGGAACUGUCCCCCGGACUGCACGGCUCGAGGAAGGAAGGGGAGAAUGGAAUUCCCGGUGUAGCGGUGAAAUGCGUAGAUAUCGAGAGGAACACCGGUGGCGAAGGCGGCCUUCUGGACAGUAACUGACGCUGAGACGCGAAAGCGUGGGGAGCAAACAGG
RNAcentral lists this ribosomal RNA (253 nucleotides) under uncultured bacterium. RNAcentral's name for it is "partial 16S ribosomal RNA". It matches the Rfam family "Bacterial small subunit ribosomal RNA", at positions 524 to 776 of the family's 1533-position model. The record is from RNAcentral.